This is a long non-coding RNA of Cicer arietinum (chickpea), 1095 nucleotides long. RefSeq lists it as uncharacterized. The record is from RefSeq and is a predicted model, not a curated record. NCBI's taxonomy places the organism in Eukaryota, Viridiplantae, Streptophyta, Magnoliopsida, Fabales, Fabaceae.
UUGUCAUUUCUCAUCCUUCUCUCUCUUAUAGAAUAAUAGAAGCAUCAUUUAGUUCUCUUUCUUCAUUUUUACUAGAAAUCAGAAAAUUCAUCUGAUUUUGAUCUCGCACCCGCAGUUUUUGACCCCCACAUUAGCAUUUUCCGGCCUCCUCACCACCACUAUUAAAAUCAUCUCUUCCUGAUCUACAAAACCCACCUAUUUGUUUUGUUAAGUUAAUUUUUCACAUAACCACUUUCACGGCCAUUUUCCGAUCACCUCAAGCCUCCAUUUACCAAAAUAAGUUGAGAAAUAGAACCCCCUUAACUACCUGAAUAAAUCCCCUAAGGAAAAAUCACGUUCGGGGUAACUUCGCCGGCGACCGCCGCGCCGGUAUUCCUCUCCGCCGCUGAUGAACAGAAGGUUCACGAAUUGUCUGAGCUGCUGAGUCUGUUCAUGAAUAUUUGGCAAGAACUUCACCUCAACCUAGCAUGGAAUCCAGGCAAGAAAUUCAAACUUCAACUAGCUCCAUGACAGUUUCUAAACCAUUGAAAUUUCUACAACAAUUGUGGCUCUCUUAGGCAUACUAUUAAACCAUGGAUGAAAUCAAGUCAGGAGCUUGGUUGCGGAAAUUGCACAAGAGUACCUGCAAAGACUUAGUGAAGAGGCCCCAAUUGAUGACCUAAUAGAACUUGAUCAACAAAUAGUUGCUUUUCAUAUGAAGGUCUAAAAUUGAUGUUGUUAGAUGAAGACUGUUAUGUGUUGAUUUCUUUUGAAUAAUUUUUUAUUUCUGAACAGCACAAUAACAAAUCAGAGGUUGUUGUUGACCUUUUUAUGGAGGUAAUAGUCAGAUAUCUUCAGAUUGUUGCAAAACUACUCCAGACGGUGAACUGAAUUUUGUUUUCAUUAACUAAUACUUAAUGUUAGGUUAAAGACCUUGACAUGUUAAUUGAACACGUUGACAAAACAAAUUUUAAGAGCACUUGCCUAUAUCUCACAAGUUAAGCUAGGUAAGUGCAAACCCUCAGUUUAUGCAGGUUUUAAGAGCAACCAAUUGAGUUAAGAACAAUUUAUAAAGAAUGAGAAAAGAAUGGUUAUUGUUAUUGAUAAACAUUUGUA